RNAcentral lists this ribosomal RNA (755 nucleotides) under uncultured Herpetosiphon sp. RNAcentral's name for it is "bacterial SSU rRNA". It matches the Rfam family "Bacterial small subunit ribosomal RNA", at positions 58 to 847 of the family's 1533-position model. Lineage: Bacteria; Bacillati; Chloroflexota; Chloroflexia; Herpetosiphonales; Herpetosiphonaceae. The record is from RNAcentral.
CAAGUCGAACGCAUUCUUCGGAAUGAGUGGCGCACGGCUGAGGAACACGUGACUAACCUACCCCGGUGUGGGGGAUAACGGGUCGAAAGACUCGCUAAUCCCGCAUACGAUUCACGCAAGUGAAGGAAAGCCGUACGGCGCACUGGGCGGGGGUCGCGUCCCAUUAGAUAGUUGGUGUGGUAAUGGCGCACCAAGUCGAUGAUGGGUCUCUGGUCUGAGAGGACGACCAGACAGAUUGGGACUGAGACACGGCCCAAACUCCUACGGGGGGCAGCAGCAAGGAAUUUUCGGCAAUGGGCGGAAGCCUGACCGAGCAACGCCGCGUGGAGGAUGACGGCUCUUGGGUUGUAAACUCCUUUUGGGGGGGACGAUAAUGACGGUACCCUCCGAAUCAGGCCCGGCUAACUACGUGCCAGCAGCCGCGGUAAUACGUAGGGGCCAAGCGUUGUCCGGAAUUACUGGGCGUAAAGCGUGGGUAGGUGGUCGAUGAUGUGCCGCGUGAAAGCGCCGGAGUAAUGCCGGCGAGGUCGCGGUAGACACGUUGACUAGAGGCUCGCAGAGGAACGUGGAAUUCCCGGUGUAGUGGUGAAAUGCGUAGAUAUCGGGAGGAACACCAGUGGCGCAAGCGGCGUUCUGGGCGAGACCUGACACUGAGCCACGACGGCGUGGGGAGCAAACAGGAUUAGAUACCCUGGUAGUCCACGCAGUAAACGAUGCAUACCAGGUGUGGGAUGGCGUUCGCGUCGUUCCGUGCC